Molecule: ribosomal RNA, 841 nt
Filed under: uncultured archaeon
Lineage: Archaea
Description: bacterial SSU rRNA
Rfam family: Archaeal small subunit ribosomal RNA
Source: RNAcentral
GUCGAGAGGGUUCGGCCCUCGGCUGACGGCUCGGUAACACGUGGAUAAUCUGCCCUUAGGUGGAGGAUAAUCUCGGGAAACUGAGAAUAAUACUCCAUAGAUCUAGGAUGCUGGAAUGCACUUAGAUUGAAAGCUCCGGCGCCUAAGGAUGAGUCUGCGGACUAUCAGGUUGUGGUCAGGGUAAUGACCUGACUAGCCUACGACGGAUACGGGUUGUGAGAGCAAUAACCCGGAGACGAUAUCUGAGACACGAUAUCGGGCCCUACGGGGCGCAGCAGGCGCGAAAACUUCACACUGUGCGAAAGCACGAUGAGGGAAUCCCGAGUGCCAACUCGUAAGAGUUGGCUGUUUCUCUGUCUAAAAAAUAGAGAGAGUAAGAGCUGGGUAAGACGGGUGCCAGCCGCCGCGGUAAUACCUGCAGCUCAAGUGGUGGCCACUAUUAUUGGGCCUAAAACGUCCGUAGCCGGUUUAAUAAAUGCCGGGGUAAAUCGUGUAGCUUAACUAUACGAAUUCCGGGUAGACUGUUAGACUUGAGACCGGGAGAAGCUAGAGGUACUCCUGGGGUAGAGGUGAAAUUCUGUAAUCCUAGGGGGACCACCAGUGGCGAAGGCGUCUAGCUAGAACGGGUCUGACGGUGAGGGACGAAGCCCUGGGGCGCAAACCGGAUUAGAUACCCGGGUAGUCCAGGGUGUAAACGCUGCUUGCUUGAUGUUAGUUGGGCUCCGAGCCCAAUUAGUGUCGGAGAGAAGUUGUUAAGCAAGCUGCCUGGGAAGUACGGCCGCAAGACUGAAACUUAAAGGAAUUGGCGGGGGAGCACAGCAACGGGUGGAGCGUGCGGUUU